AAUAGAUACCCGGGUAGUCCUUGCCGUAAACUAUGUAUACUUGGUGUUGUUAGGCUCAACCCUGACAGUGCCGGAGCAAACGUGUUAAGUAUACCGCCUGGGGAGUACGCUCGCAAGGGUAAAACUCAAAAGAAUUGACGGGGACCCGCACAAGCAGUGGAGCAUGUGGUUUAAUUCGAUGCAACGCGAAGAACCUUACCUGGGCUUGAACUGCAAAUGACCGCUAUAGAGAUAUAGUUUUCUCGCAAGAGACAUUUGUAGAGGUGCUGCAUGGCUGUCGUCAGCUCGUGCCGUGAGGUGUUGGGUUAAGUCCCGCAACGAGCGCAACCCUUGUCGUUAGUUGCCAGCGAGUAAUGUCGGGAACUCUAACGAGACUGCCUGGGGUUAACCAGGAGGAAGGUGAGGAUGACGUCAAGUCCGCAUGGCCUUUAUGUCCAGGGCUACACACGUGCUACAAUGGUCGGUACAGAAGGCAGCAAGAUCGCAAGAUGGAGCAAAUCCUUAAAACCGGCCCCAGUUCGGAUUGGAGU
RNAcentral lists this ribosomal RNA (530 nucleotides) under uncultured bacterium. Its description in RNAcentral is "bacterial SSU rRNA". It matches the Rfam family "Bacterial small subunit ribosomal RNA", at positions 777 to 1304 of the family's 1533-position model. The record is from RNAcentral.